This 2699-nucleotide long non-coding RNA is filed under the name Zea mays. RNAcentral's name for it is "long non-coding RNA (ZMAY_LNC005283)". Lineage: Eukaryota; Viridiplantae; Streptophyta; Magnoliopsida; Poales; Poaceae. The record is from RNAcentral.
CGGACCAUCCCCUUUUCCCCCUUUGUCGCGUGCGGCCCAUUCCUCACUCGCCCUGCCUCACCGACGUGUGGGUCCUAGCGCUCCUCCUCUCUUGGUGUCUAUGGCAUGUGGGCCGUCUGGCCAGACCGUUUCAACACGCAAGGGCGCAAGCCUGUCGCGAGUCUUGUACACGCUGACAUGUGGGACCCGGUCGUCAUCACUAACCCCUCAAUCGAAGACACCACAACAGAAUAGCGGCGCCAGGUUUCUCGGUCGGGCCGCUCCAACCGCCGUUGCCCGGGUGUGCGGGUCAGACUCCAUGCUAUAAAGAGCUGAGCCCCGUACCCCUGGAACCCUUGGACCAUCUCUCGCCACCCAGAACAAGGUAACCUCGUCGCCAUCACCAUAGUUGUGGAGCACCGCCGCAGUUGGCGAGGUGAGAUCCCGCGGGGCCUCUUCAAUCCGAGUCUGGGGGUGGCAGGGUCCCUAGCGCAACCAAGUGGGUUCGGUUGUGGGGACCGGUGGCACGCGGAGUACCUCAGAGUGGCGGCAAUUGCUCGCCGAUGCAUGCCCUCUGGUGCGGACUACGCCUCUUCGUGGGCAGCGAACUCCACAUCUCUGACUUAGGUGAGACCCCUCUCCGCAUGUUCGCCAUCUUCCCCUCUAGGUUUAGCACCGGACAAUUUUAGGUUUGGGGUGUUUGGGCAUCGGAUUGCGUGUCCGCCGGCGAAGCUCCAUCGCGGCCUCGCGGGUAUGCCAUGCGGCGCUGUCGUGUUCUUCUGGGAUGGGAGAUAUGGUCACGUCAGUCGAUUGCUCGCUUAACGGCUGCAAUUAGAUCAAAUGUACCCCUUCGCGCAUAACGAUCCGGGUUGCCGAUUCUUGAUCAGGCGGUCAAAAUCAAAUCCGGAUAUCGGUUUGGGUAGGUGUAACAUAAGUCAUUCGAUUCAGAUCAAACGGGUGUGUGGAUGGGGGCCUAAUAAGAUCUCGGCCGUAGGUUUCUGAUCCGAUUGUCCACAUAGCAUACCGCUUCGAUUUAAGAAGGGUCUAAUCCAGGCCGUUGAAUCUGAUCGGGCAGUCAUAACCGAACCAUACCCCUUCGUCGUAGUAUUUUUGCAUAAGAGACCCUCGACUUUAAUCCAUUCAACCCGCCGUCCAUCCUUUCAUAAGGAAUAUUACGCAGGGAACCUAAAGUUAGCGAAAACAAACCUGAUCUUCCUAGAAACUAUGUGCCCAAUCCAGAAUUAUUAGGAAUACUCUGAAUUAAAUAAGAAAAUGGGUUUUUAGUGUAAAAUAAAUCUGGAAACUUGUUUAAUUCAUAUUAAAUCCAUUUUAGCUCCAAAUUGAUCAAUUCCGGUUGCUAUAAAUUCAUAUUAAUAUUGUUUAUCAUCUGAUAACCCUAUUUUGUUAUGAAACAUAGGUAGGAAUUAUGCACUUAAUUUCUUCUGUAUCCAACAUUUAAAUCUUCAGUAAAUCGUAACUCUGUAACCGUAACUUCGAUUUUAGCGAUUCUCGAACCCACGAUCUCGUAACAUCGCGUAGAAUAUUAUUAUGCAGUUUGUGCUUAUGUUUGGUGUGAUGUUAAUUUUUACCUAUUCCAUGUUUGUUUGUAUUGCUACGAAUAGCAGUGAGGUCACGACAAUCUGAAGAUCAUCCUGGUGCUUGGAAUCUUGAGUCUCACACAAGUUGUGCCCUUGAUCACUCUUUUUUUACCUAAUAAUGUUCGCUGUUAAUCACUGUGACAUGCUCAGGUUAAUUUGAUGGGACCUAAUAGGUUUUCCUAGCAUUGUUUAUCCCUCACCUUGCAAACAGAUGAACUAUUGGGUAGAUUUGUUAUCGCUCUACCUGGUUUUGGGAAACUAAUAUUUUAUUAUGAGCAUGUUCCAAUUAUGUUGUUGUUUAAUUAUUGUUAAUGAUAAGAUAAUAUUGUUAAUUGGAACAUGGAGAACCACCCGGGAAAACAGUGCUACCACAAGGGUGGUAUGGGACGCCCUUGGAUGACUAAUUACGAAAGCUAGUGGAGGACUACCUUACCCGAAAGGGGCAAGGGCGGUAGGGGAGUGGUCGUUGUAGGGAGGUUCUCGGGAUGAUUUUGCUGCGAUGGCGGUUAGACGAGGGAUUCCUACAUUGGGGCUUCCUCUGUAGCGGGUUUUAUGAAGCUAGUGGAACUUUGUAAAGGCGUCGUAGUGGUACCCUGCCUCUCUUCCUUGGUAGAGGUGUAUGGUAUCUGAUCAACUCCGUGGCAAAUGGGUAACAUGACUUGUGGGUAAAGAUGUGCAACCUCUGCAGAGUGUAAAACUGAUAUAUCAGCCGUGCUCACGGUCAUGAGCGGCUCAUACCCUCACAUGAGUAAUUUAUGGAAUUAAAGCUUAAUUUGUCAUAUGCAUUGCAUCGCGGGUGUUGUUAUCAAUUUUGAUCUAUUACUUAUUUGGGUUGGUAUCUACUUACACUUAGUAAAUGCUAAUAAAAUUUUGACCAACUGUAAAAGCAAUGCUCAACUUUAACCAUCCUCUUUGGUAAGCCUUACACUUGAGCUCCCACCUUUGGUGAGUUCAUGCACAUUAUUCCCCACAACUUGUUGAGCGAUGAACGUAUGUGAGCUCACCCUUGCUAUCUCACACCUCCCAGAGGUCAAGGACAGGUACCGCAAGAUGAGGCGCAUGGAGGAUGUUGUGAUGAGUUCGUGAGAGGUCUAGGUCGUCGUCUCCCAAUCAACUAUGGGC